AGAGAACUACAGUCAGGCAGGCAGAGUAUUUUCUGAUUUGGAUGAGUUCAUAAGACAUGUACAUUAUGGGAAUUAUAUGAUUGCUCCACCUGCAUCACAUCUGGACCACCUCUGGACUGAGCUGUAGGGAUGCAGGGAAACCCUGCUAAGUGUCAAGCUGCACCCUGUCCUGCUGGUGCCCAUGCCUAGACCCUCAUUCCAUUGUUCACAGAAUUCUAUGCCUUGGGAUUUUGUCUCUACUUGUCCAGAACUCCUAAUUCCUUCACUCUUCCACAUUCUAGGUCCUCCUCUAUCAAUUUAAGUACCAGAUCCCUGUCAGCUGCCUUCCCCAGACAUUAAGUCAGAAGCUCAGUUUGAUGGCAGGGUGUGUGUUUCCAGGGAACAUGCUCUUUUGCCUGCAGCCACAUAAGACAUACCUUUGCUCCAUCUUUACCUUCUGCCACGAUUAUGAGGCCUCCCCAGCCACAUGAAACGGGGGAAGUAUGUAAUGAUGUUUGUGACAAAAAAUAAAUGUGAUCAACUGGUAAAAACAGCCUGAUGUUGUGUCUUCAGUGAAUGUUCCCACUAGCCAGGCUGAGCUUAAGGUGUAUGGUCAACUAAACAAUCCAAAAACCAUGUAGCUCCACAAUAAUCAGAAAUUCUGGAUCCAGUAAAACAAGUCUCCUUUAAGACAUGGCUGAAUGCUGGAAGAAAGUAAAGAAAGUUCCUGGAGUCAAAGAUGAAGUGAGAAGGAAAAAUCAGAGCAGUGAAUGCAGUCUCACCCUGUUGCCCAGGCUGGAAUGCAGUGG
This 788-nucleotide long non-coding RNA is filed under the name Homo sapiens (human). RNAcentral's name for it is "HSALNT0307001". Lineage: Eukaryota; Metazoa; Chordata; Mammalia; Primates; Hominidae. The record is from RNAcentral.